GGUUCUGUAGCUCAGUGGUAGAGCACUACCUUGACAUGGUAGGGGUCGUUGGUUCAAGUCCAAUCAGAGCCACCA
RNAcentral lists this transfer RNA (75 nucleotides) under Helicobacter sp. MIT 01-3238. RNAcentral describes it as "tRNA-Val". It matches the Rfam family "tRNA". Rfam says of the family: Transfer RNA (tRNA) molecules are approximately 80 nucleotides in length. Their secondary structure includes four short double-helical elements and three loops (D, anti-codon, and T loops). Further hydrogen bonds mediate the characteristic L-shaped molecular structure. tRNAs have two regions of fundamental functional importance: the anti-codon, which is responsible for specific mRNA codon recognition, and the 3' end, to which the tRNAs corresponding amino acid is attached (by aminoacyl-tRNA synthetases). tRNAs cope with the degeneracy of the genetic code in two manners: having more than one tRNA (with a specific anti-codon) for a particular amino acid; and 'wobble' base-pairing, i.e. permitting non-standard base-pairing at the 3rd anti-codon position. Lineage: Bacteria; Pseudomonadati; Campylobacterota; Epsilonproteobacteria; Campylobacterales; Helicobacteraceae. The record is from RNAcentral.